RNAcentral lists this ribosomal RNA (324 nucleotides) under uncultured eukaryote. RNAcentral describes it as "partial 18S ribosomal RNA". It matches the Rfam family "Eukaryotic small subunit ribosomal RNA", at positions 1470 to 1796 of the family's 1831-position model. The record is from RNAcentral.
CCCUUAGAUGUCCUGGGCCGCACGCGCGCUACACUGAUGCAUUCAACGAGUUCACCUUGGCCGAGAGGCCUGGGCAAUCUUUUGAACGUGCAUCGUGAUAGGGAUAGAUUAUUGAAAUUUUUAAUCUUGAACGAGGAAUUCCUAGUAAACGCAGAUCAUCAAUCUGCAUUGAUUACGUCCCUGCCCUUUGUACACACCGCCCGUCGCACCUACCGAUUGAAUGGUCCGGUGAAGCCUCGGGAUUGUGGCCAGUUCCCUUUAUUGGGAGUUGGUUGCGAGAACUUGUCUAAACCUUAUCAUUUAGAGGAAGGUGAAGUCGUAACA